UACGAAUUGUGCAAACGUUAUUCGGAAUCACUGGGCUUAAAGGGUGCGUAGGCGGCUAUGAAGGUCUGAUGUGAAAUCCCACGGCUCAACCGUGGAAUUGCGUUGGAAACCACAUGGCUUGAGGAAGACAGAGGUGAGCGGAACUAAUGGUGGAGCGGUGAAAUGUGUUGAUAUCAUUAGGAACACCGGUGGCGAAAGCGGCUCGCUGGGUCUUUUCUGACGCUGAGGCACGAAAGCUAGGGUAGCAAACGGGAUUAGAUACCCCGGUAGUCCUAGCCGUAAACGAUGAGCACUAGACUGAGGGGACCCCCACAUCCUCUCGGUCGUAGCGAAAGUGUUAAGUGCUCCGCCUGGGGAGUAUGGUCGCAAGGCUGAA
This 376-nucleotide ribosomal RNA is filed under the name uncultured bacterium. RNAcentral describes it as "bacterial SSU rRNA". It matches the Rfam family "Bacterial small subunit ribosomal RNA", at positions 524 to 898 of the family's 1533-position model. The record is from RNAcentral.